ACCUGCCCUAAGGAAGCCACAUGGUUAGGAACAUGGGUUCUCAGAUUUUUCCUCUUUAAUAUUUAUAGCCCAUUCAGUACCACCGAGCCUUCUGAAAACACCCCUCCCCAGAUACCUUACAUCAGGUACUGAGCUUCCUGUUUCCAACCCCAUCACCUCCUUCCCUGGAAAGUUGAACCAAGGUGCCCCUAAACUGAGGGUCAGGGGAGAGGCAGGGCUUUUCUGUGCAGUCCUGGCUGACCUGGAGCCAGCUCUGUGGCCUGGCUGGCUACUACAGAUCAAACACUUCCCAUUGCCUACGGCUACUGCAGCAAAAGCAGGUGCAGCGUGAGGCAAGAGAAUGUGUUUGCAGUGAUGCGGUGCGAAGCAGCCUGAGGAGCGGUGGGCCUUAAAAAGGCACCGCACAGUUAUGUGUAAUCACUUAUAACCACUUACCGGGUGACCGUAUGUUACUGCACCCGGGACUCACCGUUUUGUUGGGCGCCUGCUGAGUAUUAUAUUCUGGACUGGGCUCACUGAAGUUAGGAACUUCGGAAUAAACCAUGCAGAACCUGCAAGGAAAGAAGUCAAAGCCUUGGAGCCAUCUUUCGGGCCACAGACAAAUCCGGCUCUGAGGUCCGAACCUCGUGCCCGUCCUUGGUCUUAGUCACUCGGCCUUUGAGGGAAGAAAUACACGGGGGGCGAAUUAAAGUCAUACAAGUGGGGUGGUGGUAGCGGAAGUCUGAGUAUUGUUUGAGUGAGGUGCAAGUGUAGAAGCUGAGCAAAGCGUAUAUCCCUCCUUGGGGCAGAAGGUUAUGCGUGGGUGUGUGGGGGUGAGAGAGGAGGGUCCAGCACCAUGGAGAGAGCCCAGAGUGGAAAAGGCCCGCGUGGCUUUUUAGGCAUUAGGCUAUCUAGAGUUCUAGCUACUCUCUUCCCACGGGCAGCUAGCUCCUGUGCCAGCAGGUCUGAGGGAUUAGAGGGCUUUGGGGCGUCUCCUCCCAGGGCAGGCAACAAGUUCAGAACGCAAGCGGUGGUCCCGUGUGCCCCCACUCUCCAUGCUCCUCCCCGUUUGCGCCCCCCACCCUCCGAGUCCACUGCGCAUGCAUAGCCACCUGUCUCCAGUACAAUGAAGAUGAGGUUCAGGUUCUUGAGCCCGGGCUUGAUAUCCUUCACGAAGGUCUCGGUCGUCAUGCUUCCCGAACCGCGGCACCCCGCUGGAAGUGGAAACGGGAGAUGAAGGCUCAAGGUCUGGAGCCUUCGUCCCCAUGCUCCCGCUUGGCCUACCCACUGCACCAGGCGGGGAUCCGGCAGCCUUGGUCCUUCUCUAACCCUUCUAGGAGGUGAGAAACGAACUUCCCUGGGGGCCUCGAACUUCAAGAUCAGAACUCAGAGAUCUCUGGAUAAGAUGCUUAGGAGCUGGAAGGCCCGCACUCGGUCAGGAUGCUUUUAGUCUCACGCUCCGAAGCAGGGAGGCUAAAGGAGACUCGUAAGGAACCCGGUGCAGAGCCACGGACCAGAAUCUUACUCCGCAGAUCUUCCUGAACCCUCAUCCCACACCCAGAACUCGGAUCAUCCCCUCCCCACCCACAGCCCACCACCCACCCAGCCGGCAGGCGGGACCGUGCACACCGCCAAGCCACCCGCAGGGGGAGCCAGGGGGCUAGCUGCCCCCGGAUGCUGCCGAGUGGAACGCGGGAGCGCAAACAUUCCCGGAAGUGUCCCCUGACCUUCUCCAGCCAAUAGGGACCGAUGUGCUCUCCAAUGUCCCGCCUCCAGCCACCGCCCAUCCAAUCAGACUCCGAUAUUCACGCGCCGCGAACGGGGCGGAUUUAGGCUUUAAAGGAGCCUUGAGGAAGAUUACUUCCGUAGGAGAAAAAGAUGGACGGACCACCAGGGGGCGCCUCAACUAGCAAGCAUUCCUUCGGCUCAGAGAAAGGACUACAGGCUCUCAAGAGUUUUUUUCCUUUUCAAGUAGUGGCACAAUGGAGAAAAAGUCCAAGGGUUUUGGAAUGCAGCGGACAAAAGUUUGAAUCCCAGCCUGUGUCUUUGCUUCUUUUCUCUGCAAUUCUAAAACAAAUAAAUUCCAUUUUACACAUGAAAAUGGAAAGUUCGGUAAAAAGCGAUGCCUAAGACAGGGCAGGAACUUACACAUAUGGGGCCUUCAUCUUUUUAUUUAUUUAAAAUUUCCACCUCCUCCCAUAGGGGGCCUUCAUCUUUAAUACACUAUUCGACCUCAGG
This is a long non-coding RNA of Arvicola amphibius (Eurasian water vole), 2217 nucleotides long. RefSeq lists it as uncharacterized. The transcript is spliced from 4 exons. The record is from RefSeq and is a predicted model, not a curated record. NCBI's taxonomy places the organism in Eukaryota, Metazoa, Chordata, Mammalia, Rodentia, Cricetidae.